RNAcentral lists this ribosomal RNA (497 nucleotides) under uncultured bacterium. Its description in RNAcentral is "partial 16S ribosomal RNA". It matches the Rfam family "Bacterial small subunit ribosomal RNA", at positions 28 to 507 of the family's 1533-position model. The record is from RNAcentral.
GAUGAACGCUGGCGGCGUGCCUAAUACAUGCAAGUCGAGCGAACAGACGAGGAGCUUGCCCCUCUGACGUUAGCGGCGGACGGGUGAGUAACACGUGGAUAACCUACCUAUAAGACUGGGAUAACUUCGGGAAACCGGAGCUAAUACCGGAUAAUAUAUUGAACCGCAUGGUUCAAUAGUGAAAGACGGUUUUGCUGUCACUUAUAGAUGGAUCCGCGCCGCAUUAGCUAGUUGGUAAGGUAACGGCUUACCAAGGCAACGAUGCGUAGCCGACCUGAGAGGGUGAUCGGCCACACUGGAACUGAGACACGGUCCAGACUCUUACGGGAGGCAGCAGUAGGGAAUCUUCCGCAAUGGGCGAAAGCCUGACGGAGCAACGCCGCGUGAGUGAUGAAGGUCUUCGGAUCGUAAAACUCUGUUAUUAGGGAAGAACAAAUGUGUAAGUAACUAUGCACGUCUUGACGGUACCUAAUCAGAAAGCCACGGCUAACUACGUG